Bos taurus (domestic cattle) is the source of this 662-nucleotide long non-coding RNA. The record is from Ensembl. Lineage: Eukaryota; Metazoa; Chordata; Mammalia; Artiodactyla; Bovidae.
AUCACUCUGUGAAAGAGCUGGUUUGAAGGAAGGGUGAGGCUGGUGAAUGGGCAGAGAACCAGGAGAGACAAACAGGCAAGAGUGGCUGGGGGAAGUAGGGCACAUGCUGCCUUUAAUCCAUUGAGCCUGACCUAGGCACUCGUUGAUGUCCCAAGGAAAUGUUCAAAGAAGAACCAAAUUUUUCAUGGGGUUUUAGUGUAUCCAACUAAAUACUCACUUUACCAGCCUCUGUCACUACUAAGUGGCUUUGUGAUCCAGUUCUCAUCUGAUAAUGAGAUGUAUAAAUGUGAUGGACCAGCAGUAGCCAUCUUGGAAACAUAAAGCAAGGAGCCAACAUGCUAAGAGAGAAUCCUCAACAAUACUACUUCCUCUACAGCCCGGAUGUAACCGCAACUGUCUUUAGCGUAAUAUACCCAGGCAUUAUGGGACUUUUCCCUGGGCCUCCAGAGAACGGAGGACUGGAACUCGGCCCCACCAGAAAUCAGACCAGACCAGAACCAGAAUUCGAGUUCUCUGCCAAGAGGAGGUGACCAGUCUCCAAUCCUCAGCUCAGGCUGAGGGCCCUUUGACCAGAUUCCUGCAUCCAGGACAGGGGGACUAGAAAAACAGGUCUGGCACAAAGAAGGUCCUUAAUAAUCAUUCAUUAAAGUUUUAUUUUGAAU